Long non-coding RNA from Alosa alosa (allis shad), 1152 nucleotides. RefSeq lists it as uncharacterized. NCBI's taxonomy places the organism in Eukaryota, Metazoa, Chordata, Actinopteri, Clupeiformes, Clupeidae. The transcript has 9 exons. The record is from RefSeq and is a predicted model, not a curated record.
GCCAGGUGUCUGAAAUAAGCCACGUAGCGGAAUAUAUAACAUUAUUAUGUGAAACCGCAGAAGGAAGAUGUAUAUCCAUCAUAAAGCCAUACGACAACGACCCAAACGACGGGCAAGGCGAAACAAUACAAGUACUAGGCUACGUUGUCAACCUCUUCACACGCUGAGGUGUGUCUCACCUAAACGAACAGACCCGCGCUGUAGUCAAAAGCAGACAUGGAUUCAAAUGUGUCCCUCUACAAGAGGAGGAUGGAGGAGGGAGGAGAGGAAUCAGUGUGUGCAUGUGAGGGAGAGAGAAAGAGAGAGAGAGGGAGUUCCAUCUGGUGAAACGGAGUGGGCAGGAGGAAAAAGUGACAGAUGUGGGGGCCAGUGCCAGUGUGAGAGUGAGAGUGGGAGUUGUCAGACAUGUCGACUCCGGUGCGGUGAUGGAUGGCCAGUGAGAACUUUAGAAAUCACAAGAACAAAAAAGACCAGAACCAGAAAUCCGCCGACAGCCCCUAUGCCAAUGAAAACGCUGGAUGGACUGCGCUUGGGUUCUAAAGAAAGCAGAAGAAUAUGGAGGGCUUGUGUUCCUCCCAUCCCCCCGUCCACACCUCCACUCCUUUUCCUCCUCCUCCUCCUCCUCUGGCAAGCUGAGGAAGGGAGAACCCCGUAGCCCAGCACAGGGAUAGCAGCCGACAGAGAAUGCACCUCUGACACGGAGCCAUACAGCAGCACAGACAACCAGCAGCGGAAGCCCUCUGCCCACAGAUAAUUGGAUAAAGGCAAAGUCUGCGAAGGUCAGCCAAGAAACAAGCAGCAGCUGCCAGAGUGAAGACCACAGGACUACAAUUACCUCAACAGUGUACAGCGCUGGAGCAAAGUGAAUGACAGAUUGGAGGCACGGGCGAUGGUGAAGAUUGAGUUUGGCUUCCAGCAACGCUGAGAAAGUGCCUGUGAGCCCGGCGAGCAGCCAGCCGUUGCAAAGGGGAAGAUCGAGCUAGGAGCCGAGUGGCGCGUGUGACAGGUUCUAUCUAAGCGAGGGACCACCACCACACUCUCCAGCCUCUGCUCAGCCCACUAGCUCAGCAGCAGCAGCAGUCUCAGUGGCAGCAGUGAUUCCCUCAACUCCAGCGCAGCCAGCUGUACAUGGAGAUCCCCCGCUGGGCAGGU